GACGAACGCUGGCGGCGUGCUUAACACAUGCAAGUCGAACGGAAAGGCCUGCUUUCCCUUGUGGAUUGCGGGUGCUCGAGUGGCGAACGGGUGAGUAACACGUGAGUGAUCUGCCCCCAACUUGGGUAUAAGCCUGGGAAACUGGGUCUAAUUCCCGAUAGGACUGCAGGGUGGUGCCUGUGGUGGAAAACGAUUUUCUAGUGGUUGGGGAUGAGCUCGCGGCCUAUCAGCUUGUUGGUGGGGUAAUGGCCUACCAAGGCGGCGACGGGUAGCCGGCCUGAGAGGGUGGACGGGCACAUUGGGACUGAGAUACGGCCCAGAAUCCUACGGGAGGCAGCAGUGGGGAAUAUUGCACAAUGGGCGGAAGCCUGAUGCAGCGACGCCGCGUGGGGGAUGACGGCCUUCGGGUUGUAAACUCCUUUCGACCGCGAGGAAGCCACCUGGUUGGAAGGGUGGUGACGGUAGUGGUAGAAGAAGCACCGGCUAACUACGUG
RNAcentral lists this ribosomal RNA (494 nucleotides) under uncultured bacterium. Its description in RNAcentral is "partial 16S ribosomal RNA". It matches the Rfam family "Bacterial small subunit ribosomal RNA", at positions 28 to 507 of the family's 1533-position model. The record is from RNAcentral.